This 87-nucleotide transfer RNA is filed under the name Candidatus Magasanikiibacteriota bacterium. RNAcentral describes it as "tRNA-Ser". It matches the Rfam family "tRNA". From Rfam's summary of the family: Transfer RNA (tRNA) molecules are approximately 80 nucleotides in length. Their secondary structure includes four short double-helical elements and three loops (D, anti-codon, and T loops). The record is from RNAcentral. Lineage: Bacteria; Candidatus Magasanikiibacteriota.
GGAGAGAUGGCUGAGUGGUUGAAGGCGACAGUCUUGAAAACUGUUGUACGUUAACGCGUACCGUGGGUUCGAAUCCCACUAUCUCCG